CUUGAAUUUCCUUCCUUCAUCUCCUGCCCUCUGUUCUGACGUCCCUUUGCUGUCCUCUUGUACAUCUCUGGGUGCUGACACGACAGCGUAGCUCCUGUCUGCUCGGCACAGCUCUCCUGAAGGUGUUUGUCUCAGGAGGUGUCUCAGAGAAAGGAAACAAGAAACUGGUGAAAGAUGGUUGAAGAACCCGUCAGGGUGGAGCAGAGACUCUCAGUG
RNAcentral lists this long non-coding RNA (216 nucleotides) under Cyanistes caeruleus (blue tit). Its description in RNAcentral is "lncRNA (ENSCCEG00000008844.1)". Lineage: Eukaryota; Metazoa; Chordata; Aves; Passeriformes; Paridae. The record is from RNAcentral.